Molecule: long non-coding RNA, 2559 nt
Filed under: Triticum aestivum (bread wheat)
Lineage: Eukaryota; Viridiplantae; Streptophyta; Magnoliopsida; Poales; Poaceae
Description: long non-coding RNA (TAES_LNC008285)
Source: RNAcentral
CCAGCUUGGUCGCCGCGCUGCCCAGCCUGGUCCUCGCCGCAAACAACACUCCAGGCAGGUACUCCUCGCCCGUACACUGAAAUUUACAGCAGAAUUUGAGGAAUCAGUUAAACAGCGCGACAACAGCAGUAAUUUACAGCAGAAUUUGAGGAAUCACUAGAAUUUGAAAGCAAACAAAUAAAAGUAGCAAGUGCACUGAAAUUCAGGAGUUAACAGGUCCAGUGUGCAGGCUGCAGCCCACAUUUUCCAUCAGGCAUCCAAAUUUGCCUAAACCCAUGUUCCUUGUCAAAUUCAGUCUAAACCCAUGUUCGAUGUUAGAGAACCAAAUGCUUCUGCAUUUGGCACUGCCAAUUAAUCCCUCUGUUCCAUUUGAACUAAAACCACGAUAAAAAUUAUGGAACGGAGUACUUGUAGUUCCAUCACUUAAUUGACAUGGGACCAGCAUGGAGUAACAAGCAAGGCAAAAAUGGUGCCAGUACAUGAUGAUGUUACAUCACUUAAUGGAGUACUUGUAGUUCCAUCACUUAAUUGACAUGAGUAGAUAAGCAUCAUUUUGACAUUACUACAGGGGCUACAACUUCAAAGGGAAGUACCAAAUGACUACACUCGAUCUGUAUAUCAUUGUAAAAUGCACUGAUGAGUACCGGAGUAAUAUGCACUAAACAGUAUUUAUACAAAGCAUGUCAUUGUUCAGAAGAACAGUGGAUCAUUUAGUUGUACCGAAAAGAUUAAUUCAGUUUUAACUAAACAUUAUUUAUACUGGAACAAGCAUUGUGAGUGCUUUCAGUACACAGCAAAAUGAACUUCUCCAUCAGUACACAGCAAAAUGAACUUCUCCAUACAUGAUAUAAAUGGUCAGUAGAUUAAAUGGUCAAUACACUGGAACAAGCAUUUUGACAAGAGUAAAUGGUCAGUAACAAGCAUUUUGACAAAGUAACAAGCAUAUUGACAAAAUUUCACCACUGUGAACAGGAACGAGUUGACAAAGUAACUUGACAUUAACUUGAUUUACUGCCCCCCCGCGCGCAAAAAAGAAAACUUGAUUUACUGUUAACUUAAAUGAACGCUUAUUGUCAAAAUGCUCAGUUAACUUGACAUUAACUUGCUUUUCAUUUUUAACUUGCUUUGAAUAUGGUCAGUUAGGUGCAACAUGUUCAGUGUAGUCCUAAGCAACACUUGCUGACUACUCUUAACUCAACAGUACUGAACUAAACAUGACUACUCUAACUUAACAGUACUGAGCACUACUCACUUGCUGUAGUCCAACUUAUUGCAAGCAAAAUAGGCCUACUCCAAGCAAAUUGAGUAGUUGUUGGCAAGCUUAUCCCAUCUACUCCAAAUCUUCAGUAUUUGUAAAUCAACCCAUCACUGAAUCUCUAAAUAUAGUUUACAUAGAGCAUAUACCGCUAACACUAAUAUGGCAGCAGUAAAUAAAAUCUUUGAUAGCAUCCAUUUACUGAACAUUUGUCAGUUAACACUGAUUUCUACUCCUAGAAAAUGUGCUCACUAAAUGGAUCAAAUGUGCUCCCACCAAAGAUUUUCUUUGACAGCAACAAAGAACAUCAUGGUCAUGUAGGCAUUCAGGCCUCUUUGUAACAGGAACGUAGACUUUAAUGAGCCCCUGGGUACAAUCCUCUCUCAGCGCCGAUGAUCCCAGAACCGCUUCGCCAUCGCCUUUAUCAGCAGCCAAGGUGUGAGUACUCAUCUUCAGUUACACUUCCCCUGCUCAUAAGGCCAAGCAAACAUUUCAUGGUUGGAACUAAUGGAUGGUAAGCUGACUGAAAUUAGUGGAGUAGGUUGGAGAUUAAUUGGGCUUGAGCAACCAAAUUACUCCAAAUUGCUCAUACCACCAAGUCCUACUCCAAGAGCUUCAUGUGCUAAAAUACUGAAGCUUCAUGCGCUAUAAUUUUAAUUAUAAUUACUGCAAGCACAAGCUACAGAAAACAUAAGGACCAGCAAGUUGCUGCAAGUGGGUACAAUUAUAAACUCACUCACAGUAACAUGUUACUCUAUGACAUCAAGUCCUACAGUACUGCUGCUCCACUUGCUACUCCUACUUGGAAGAAAACAACAAGCCCUACACUAGUCCAUUUUAAGCACUCCUGAACAUUUUGAAAGAGAUUACUCCUACUGAAUUUGCUACACUAAAACAACAGCAUGUCCUGAACAUUUUACUCCAUUUUAAGCACUCCUGCUUGGAACAAAACAGCAGCAAGUCCUCCAAACUGAAUCACUAAAUCACUGAAUAUACUCCCACAAUGUGAGUACUACAGCAGCAACAUCACAUUAUGUGAAUUUCAGUACUACUCCAGCAGCAGCAUCACAUUAAGAAAGUGAACCUACUUGAGCAAAGAUGACUGAACGAGUAUACUACUGAUGGACCAGGUGCGCGCCGGCGCCGCGCUGGGGAUCCCGUUCUUCCCCCGCUUCCCUCGUCCGAUGGCGGAGAUGUUCGCCGUCCGAUGGUGGAGUACAUCACGCAGUUCCAGGUGCUGUGAUCCUUGUUAUUCUGACUUGAUCUCAGUAUUCAUUCUUCUUCUUGCCAAUGCCAUGGGGGGC